CUAGAGGUCGAGUAUCGCCAUC
Molecule: non-coding RNA, 22 nt
Filed under: Arabidopsis thaliana (thale cress)
Lineage: Eukaryota; Viridiplantae; Streptophyta; Magnoliopsida; Brassicales; Brassicaceae
Source: RNAcentral